GACGAACGCUGGCGGCGUGCCUAACACAUGCAAGUCGAACGGAGUGAUGAUUUCGGUUAUCACUUAGUGGCGAACGGGUGAGUAACGCGUGAGAAACCUGCCUUUCAGUGGGGGACAACAGUUGGAAACGACUGCUAAUACCGCAUAAUGUCAUUUGGGGGCAUCCCUGGAUGACCAAAGAUUUAUUGCUGAAAGAUGGUCUCGCGUCUGAUUAGCUGGUUGGCGGGGUAACGGCCCACCAAGGCGACGAUCAGUAGCCGGACUGAGAGGUUGAACGGCCACAUUGGGACUGAGACACGGCCCAG
This 305-nucleotide ribosomal RNA is filed under the name uncultured bacterium. RNAcentral describes it as "bacterial SSU rRNA". It matches the Rfam family "Bacterial small subunit ribosomal RNA", at positions 28 to 334 of the family's 1533-position model. The record is from RNAcentral.